GACGAACGCUGGCGGCGUGCUUAACACAUGCAAGUCGAACGAAGUGGCGAACGGGUGAGUAACGCGUAAUCAACCUGCCCUUCAGAGGGGGACAACAGUUGGAAACGACUGCUAAUACCGCAUACUGAAGGAGGGGAUUGCGUCUGAUUAGCUAGUUGGGGGGGUAACGGCCCACCAAGGCGAUGGUCAGUAGCCGGUUUGACAGGGUGGACGGGCACAAUGGGAAUGAGAGACGGGUCAGACUCCUGCGGAAGGCAGCAGUGGGGGAUCGUCCGACAUGGGGGAAAGUCUGACGGAGCAACGGCCGGUGAGUGAUGAAGGCCUUCGGGUUGUAAAGCUAUGUUAAUCGGGACGCGUUACCGGAAGAGAAAGCCACGGCUAACUCCGUGCCAGCAGCCGCGGUAAUUC
RNAcentral lists this ribosomal RNA (408 nucleotides) under uncultured bacterium. RNAcentral describes it as "partial 16S ribosomal RNA". It matches the Rfam family "Bacterial small subunit ribosomal RNA", at positions 28 to 526 of the family's 1533-position model. The record is from RNAcentral.